GCAUUAUUAAAAUGUUCAAGAGGAUCAUAUUAGGGCUUCAGAAUAAAUACUAACUUCCCACAAUAAUCUUCACACAUUCGUCCAUAGGGAACGCUGGAAUAAUGACCCUUUGAAUUUGUAAUACAAAGGAGAGGCUUUUCUUCUCCCCCUCUCCUUGCCAGCAGUGUGGUGGCAUUGCACACUAAAGAGCCUGCUGCUAGAGGAGAGGUUAACCCGAGAGAGGAGGCACUUAGAGAAAGGAACUUAAUAGAAAAAAUGGUGGCUAAAGCAGGCACAUGAAGAAAUAAAUGGACUAAAGCAACAGGGCUGGCUCUGACAGGAAGCGGGGAUUCGGGACUUCAAAUACAAACAUUAUGAAAAACAAGCAACAUCUGCAAACAUACCCUUCAAGUUCCAGAGGGAAAAAACACAUCAGUGCUGCUGCGUCUUUAUCCUGUGGAAUCUAAACUAGAAUUGAGCGUGUUGCAGGCAAUCAAUAUUACUGUGAAAAUUAGCCUUUAUGACUGAGCCACUGUUUGCUCACAGGGAAAAAAAAAAAAAGCUGGUGUGAAUAGAGUGCAGCUACCAAACCAGUGCUGUGAGCACACUGCAGCUUAGCUCGUGUCCCGGGGCUCUCUUCCAGAGGGUUAUCACCCACCUGAGGG
This 644-nucleotide long non-coding RNA is filed under the name Corvus moneduloides (New Caledonian crow). RNAcentral describes it as "lncRNA (ENSCMUG00000018438.1)". The record is from RNAcentral. Lineage: Eukaryota; Metazoa; Chordata; Aves; Passeriformes; Corvidae.